Molecule: ribosomal RNA, 261 nt
Filed under: uncultured archaeon
Lineage: Archaea
Description: partial 16S ribosomal RNA
Rfam family: Archaeal small subunit ribosomal RNA
Source: RNAcentral
UAGCCGUAAACGAUACUCGCUAGGUGUCGGCCACGGUGCGACCGUUGUCGGUGCCGUAGGGAAGCCGUGAAGCGAGCCACCUGGGAAGUACGGCCGCAAGGCUGGAACUUAAAGGAAUUGGCGGGGGAGCACAACAACGGGUGGAGCUUGCGGUUUAAUUGGAUUCAACGCCGGAAAUCUUACCGGGACCGACAGCAACAUGAAGGCCAAGCUGAAGACUUUGCCGGAUUAGCUGAGAGGAGGUGCAUGGCGUAGUCGUGU